GAUGAAGAACGCAGCGAAAUGCGAUAAGUAGUGUGAAUUGCAGAAUUCAGUGAAUCAUCGAAUCUUUGAACGCACAUUGCGCCCUUUGGUAUUCCUUAGGGCAUGCCUGUUCGAGCGUCAUUUGAAACCUCAAGCUCAGCUUGGUGUUGGGUGUCUGUCCCCGCCUCACCGCGGGGACUCGCCUCAAAAUCAUUGGCGGCCGGUACGUUGGCUUCGAGCGCAGCAGAAACGCGAACUCGAGGCCCGGCGGAUCGGCGACCAGAAGUCACUUCUUCACAGUUUGACCUCGGAUCAGGUAGGGAUACCCGCUGAACUUAAGCAUAUCAAUAAGCGGAAGA
RNAcentral lists this unclassified non-coding RNA (338 nucleotides) under soil metagenome. Its description in RNAcentral is "partial contains 5.8S ribosomal RNA, internal transcribed spacer 2, and large subunit ribosomal RNA". The stretch from base 1 to 120 matches the Rfam family "5.8S ribosomal RNA", at positions 35 to 154 of the family's 154-position model. The record is from RNAcentral.